This is an RNA transcript of Myotis myotis, 1743 nucleotides long. It is a transcript of the gene named general transcription factor IIF subunit 2, with no coding region annotated. The record is from RefSeq and is a predicted model, not a curated record. The transcript has 12 exons. Lineage: Eukaryota; Metazoa; Chordata; Mammalia; Chiroptera; Vespertilionidae.
AAGUGCGCAAGCGCAGUUCCGGGCUCCCAGCGGCGGGGUCCUCUUUCCCGGGGUUCCCACCUUCCUGGCAGCUGGGUGCCGAGGCGUGGGCUUCUCUCCGCGGCUCGCGUCGUACUCCGGACACUCGCCCCCAGCACCCAGCCCCCAGCCCCCGAGCCCCCAGCACCCGAGCCCUGCUGUGGCUCGCACGCCUCUUCCGGCAACACACCCAUGGCGGAGCGUGGGGAACUCGACCUGACCGGCGCCAAGCAGAACACCGGAGUGUGGCUGGUCAAGGUUCCUAAAUAUUUGUCACAGCAGUGGGCUAAAGCCCCUGGAAGAGGUGAAGUCGGGAAACUGCGGAUUGCUAAGAAUCAAGGAAGGACUGAGGUGUCAUUUACUUUGAAUGAGGAUCUUGCAAAUAUUCAUGAUAUUGGUGGAAAACCAGCUUCAGUCAGCGCUCCUAGAGAACAUCCAUUUGUCUUGCAAAGUGUUGGAGGACAAACAUUAACAGUAUUUACUGAGAGCUCUUCAGAUAAGCUUUCAUUGGAAGGAAUAGUGGUACAAAGAGCUGAAUGCCGACCUGCUGCAAGUGAAAACUACAUGAGAUUAAAGAGACUGCAAAUAGAAGAAUCUUCUAAACCUGUACGGCUAUCACAACAACUGGACAAAGUUGUGACAACCAAUUACAAACCUGUUGCCAAUCAUCAAUACAAUAUUGAAUAUGAAAGGAAAAAGAAAGAAGAUGGAAAACGAGCUCGAGCUGAUAAACAGUAUGUCUUAGACAUGCUGUUUUCGGCUUUUGAGAAACAUCAGUAUUAUAAUCUUAAGGACCUGGUGGACAUCACAAAACAGCCUGUGGUGUACCUGAAGGAAAUCUUAAAAGAAAUUGGUAUUCAGAAUGUAAAAGGGAUCCACAAAAACACAUGGGAGCUGAAGCCAGAGUAUAGACAUUAUCAAGGAGAAGAAAAGAGUGAUUAAGAAGACUCCAAGCCAGCAUUCAAACAGAACAACUAAGGGUGAUGUGUUAAGCAUACGGCAUUGAUACUUGAACUUGAGCACCAUGUAUUAUAGGGGCAAAAUGACUGAAACUUUAAUUUCUCUAGAGAUUCAUCUGAAAGUCUACAGACCUCAGCCUGCAAGCUUAGUGUAUUGCAAUGAAAACACCUCUGCUUUGUGGAUGUCUCAAGGAGCAUGCAGUUGAAAAUGGAUACCAAGGAAUCGACUGGGAGAAGACAAGAGAAAAACAAGAUUAUUUUAACCUGCACUGAGAACUCGGAAUGAAUCCACGCUGACACUGUGACCUGGACCCCUUGUGAGAAGCCCCUGCCCUCAUCUGAAGCCCAACAAUGAAAUAGCCAAAAGCUAUUAACAGGGAUGGAAAAACUCAGGACCUAGGAAAACCAAUAUUGGCUAAUGACAGUUGUUUUUAUCAAACAGACCAAAUGGUAACUCCAGUUUGGGAUAAAACAAAGGUUCAACUGAUUUGAAAUAAUGGAUGAAGCCAGACUAAGCUUUGAACAAAGAAAAUUUAUACAGUAGAUUUUUUUAUCCUGGCAACAGUUGACGAAUUGAGGGCACACGAAUACCAAACGAAAUGAUUCUUGAUGUUUUCGAUUUCAUUGCUUCACAUUAUCAGCAGGGCCUGGACCAGGACGCUCAUCAGUUUGAAAAUGGGCAUUGACCAAGAAAUAGUUAUUCAUUUCUGUUGAUUCUUAUAAAUUUUGAAAAUGAACUGUAUGUUAAUAAACACUGACUUUAUAA